RNAcentral lists this long non-coding RNA (327 nucleotides) under Mus caroli (Ryukyu mouse). RNAcentral describes it as "lncRNA (MGP_CAROLIEiJ_G0013248.1)". The record is from RNAcentral. Lineage: Eukaryota; Metazoa; Chordata; Mammalia; Rodentia; Muridae.
GCCAUACUCUUUGCAACCAAACCACAUCAGGUGACUUCUUGAAAUGAGCUUGUAUAUGUUGCUUGUGAGCUCCUACUGGCAUCACAAUCCUUCUGGACGCAGAAUGGAUGGCAAGAAGGCUCUGCUGCUUCCUAGGUGUUGGUUGACGUGAGCUGUAUCAUCUGCCUGAGACUCUCUGUGAUCAGCACUCUUCUCUGUUGAACACAUCAGCGCCAUCUGCCUUCUGUCUGCCUGGAGAGACUUGCCACAGUAGAGCUUCCUCAGCCUCACAUGAACCGGUGCAAAGGAUGUGCGUUCCUUUUGCUGAAGCCAUCAAAUAAAAAGGCU